Molecule: non-coding RNA, 860 nt
Filed under: Pan troglodytes (chimpanzee)
Lineage: Eukaryota; Metazoa; Chordata; Mammalia; Primates; Hominidae
Source: RNAcentral
GGGCAAAUGUUUUGAGACUGCCCAUGGAGGUGAGGCCUGUGGUCGCCAUGGAGUCCACCAGGUGCCACUUCGGAUAAACCCUUUGGACUCCUAACUCCAAUCAGGUGUCUGCUUUGUUGAGGACUCACAGACACAGUCUCCUUUCUUCAAGAUCUUUACAAUGCAAGACCUCACUAACACACAGGGGAUGGUCUCCCAGAGGGUCUGUGCUGUUCCUUCACUCAGAACAUCAAGAUGCACUUAAGUAAGGAUCCUCUGUUCUACGGUUCCUGCUAGCUGAGCUAUUCCAUGGGGGCUUCAGCAGGAAAUUCCAAGGUUGGCUUUGACAAGCUAAGGCCGGCUGGUGGAGCACAUCGAGUUCUGGAGGUUCAUGUGUGUUUUCAUGAAGAUCUGUCUGCCAGUAGCAGAUAAAGAGUUGUUGCCCCACUCCUCCUGGGGUCUUCUAUUUUCCUGGGAGGAAUUUCUGGAUUAACUGAACGCACACACACACACACACACACCCCUUUGAAGCAUCAACAGUAAUUCUGAGUUCUUAGGGACAAUGCAGAUUAAAUCCACAAUAAGAAAGACAACUAUGGCCAGGUGCGGUGGCUCACGCCUGUAAUCCCAGAACUUUGGGAGGCUGAGGCGGAUGGAUCACCUGAGGUCAGGAGUUAGAGACCAACCUGACCAACAUGGAGAAACCCCGUUUCUACUAAAAAUACAAAAUUAGCCGGGCAUGGUGGCAGGCGCCUGUAAUCCCAACUACUCAGGAGGCUGAGGCAGGAGAAUCGCUUAAACCCGGGAGGCAGAGGUUGCAGUGAGCCAAGAUCGCGCCAUUGCACUCCAGCCUGGGCAAGAAGAGCAAAACUCCAUCUCAA